This 77-nucleotide small nucleolar RNA is filed under the name Vigna radiata var. radiata (mung bean). Its description in RNAcentral is "Small nucleolar RNA snoR122". It matches the Rfam family "Small nucleolar RNA snoR122". Lineage: Eukaryota; Viridiplantae; Streptophyta; Magnoliopsida; Fabales; Fabaceae. The record is from Rfam by way of RNAcentral.
GGCCAAUGAUGUAUCAUUUUGCACGUAUUAUCAGAUGUGUUUAUGAUGAUACCUUAAUUGUCACUACCUCUGAGGCC